AGUGGAAGCAGAGGCAGGAGGAGUGAAUACAUUGAAUACGACUCUGUCACAGAGGAAGACUACAUGACUGGUGAGCCCAGCAUCAUUUCCACUGAGCAAUAUGGGCAGAAGAGAACAUCAGUUGAACACAGAAUCAGUUUGAAUGAAGGAUCUGUGAUUGGGGAUCCACAGGGAUCCAUCUAUCGAGAGGAAAAUGCCGGAGGAAGAGAUCAGCCUUAAAGAGAUGCAUAGAGUGAGGAAACCUGGUCAUCAGCUGGCGAUUUCAGCUUCAUCACAGGAACAUUUGAUUCCUAAAGUACAGAAUUUCCUUUGAAUCCUCUUUGUGUUAUUGUUAGAAUCUGGAUUGCAAUAAAUCAGCAUCAAUGUUUGCCCUGC
This is a long non-coding RNA of Pygoscelis adeliae (Adelie penguin), 375 nucleotides long. RefSeq lists it as uncharacterized. The record is from RefSeq and is a predicted model, not a curated record. NCBI's taxonomy places the organism in Eukaryota, Metazoa, Chordata, Aves, Sphenisciformes, Spheniscidae. The transcript has 6 exons.